Molecule: ribosomal RNA, 485 nt
Filed under: uncultured bacterium
Lineage: Bacteria
Description: partial 16S ribosomal RNA
Rfam family: Bacterial small subunit ribosomal RNA
Source: RNAcentral
GAUGAACGCUAGCGGCAGGCCUAAUACAUGCAAGUCGAACGGUGUCUUCGGACAUAGUGGCGCACGGGUGCGUAACACGUAUGCAACCUACCUUACAUUGGGGGAUAGCCUUUCGAAAGGGAGAUUAAUACCGCAUAAGACAGUAGCUGGGCAUCCAGCAGCUGUUAAAGAUUUAUCGAUGUAAGCUGGGCAUGCGUCCAAUUAGCUAGUUGGUGAGGUAACGGCUCACCAAGGCAAUGAUUGGUAGGGGAACUGAGAGGUCAAUCCCCCACACUGGCACUGAGAUACGGGCCAGACGCCUACGGGAGGCAGCAGUAGGGAAUAUUGGGCAAUGGACGCAAGUCUGACCCAGCCAUGCCGCGUGCAGGAUGAAGGCGUUAUGCGUUGUAAACUGCUUUUAUACAGGAAGAAACGACUCUUGCGAGAAGCAUUGACGGUACUGUAUGAAUAAGCACCGGCUAACUCCGUGCCAGCCGCCGCAGUAA